Molecule: ribosomal RNA, 794 nt
Filed under: uncultured bacterium
Lineage: Bacteria
Description: bacterial SSU rRNA
Rfam family: Bacterial small subunit ribosomal RNA
Source: RNAcentral
AAGCUUGCUUCUCUUGAGAGCGGCGGACGGGUGACUUAUGCCUAGGAAUCUGCCUGGUAGUGGGGGAUAACGUUCGCCAUCUGACGCUAAUACCGCAUACGUCCUACGGGAGAAAGCAGGGGACCUUCGGGCCUUGCGCUAUCAGAUGAGCCUAGGUCGGAUUAGCUAGUUGGUGAGGUAAUGGCUCACCAAGGCGACGAUCCGUAACUGGUCUGAGAGGAUGAUCAGUCACACUGGAACUGAGACACGGUCCAGACUCCUACGGGAGGCAGCAGUGGGGAAUAUUGGACAAUGGGCGAAAGCCUGAUCCAGCCAUGCCGCGUGUGUGAAGAAGGUCUUCGGAUUGUAAAGCACUUUAAGUUGGGAGGAAGGGUUGUAGAUUAAUACUCUGCAAUUUUGACGUUACCGACAGAAUAAGCACCGGCUAACUCUGUGCCAGCAGCCGCGGUAAUACAGAGGGUGCAAGCGUUAAUCGGAAUUACUGGGCGUAAAGCGCGCGUAGGUGGUUUGUUAAGUUGGAUGUGAAAUCCCCGGGCUCAACCUGGGAACUGCAUUCAAAACUGACUGACUAGAGUAUGGUAGAGGGUGGUGGAAUUUCCUGUGUAGCGGUGAAAUGCGUAGAUAUAGGAAGGAACACCAGUGGCGAAGGCGACCACCUGGACUAAUACUGACACUGAGGUGCGAAAGCGUGGGGAGCAAACAGGAUUAGAUACCCUGGUAGUCCACGCCGUAAACGAUGUCAACUAGCCGUUGGAAGUCUUGAGCUUUUAGUGGCGCAGCUAACGCAUUAAGUU